UAUAUUUGACAAUGGGGGCAACCCUGAUCCAUCCAUGCCGUGUGUGUGAAGAUGGUCUUCGGAUUGUAAAGCACUUUUAGUUGGUAGGAAUGGCUUUAGUCUAAUACUCUGACGUCUUUACGUUACCAACAGUAUAAGCACCGGCUAACUCUGUGCCAUCAGCCGCGGUAAUACAGCGGGUGCAAGCGUUAAUCGGAAUUACUGUGCGUAAAGCGCGCGUAGGUGGUUCAGUAAGAUGGGUGUGAAAUCCCCGGGCUUAACCAGGGAACUGCUUUCAUAACUGCCGAGCUAGAGUACGGUAGAGGGUAGUGGAAUUUCCUGUGUAGCGGUGAAAUGCGUAGAUAUAGGAAGGAACACCAGUGGCGAAGGCGACUACCUGGACUGAUACUGACACUGAGGUGCGAAAGCGUGGGGAGCAAACA
This 422-nucleotide ribosomal RNA is filed under the name uncultured bacterium. RNAcentral describes it as "partial 16S ribosomal RNA". It matches the Rfam family "Bacterial small subunit ribosomal RNA", at positions 359 to 774 of the family's 1533-position model. The record is from RNAcentral.